GACGAACGCUGGCGGCGUGCUUAACACAUGCAAGUCGAACGAAGAGCGAUGGAAGCUUGCUUCUAUCAAUCUUAGUGGCGAACGGGUGAGUAACGCGUAAUCAACCUGCCCUUCAGAGGGGGACAACAGUUGGAAACGACUGCUAAUACCGCAUACGAUCUAAUCUCGGCAUCGAGGAUAGAUGAAAGGUGGCCUCUACAUGUAAGCUAUCACUGAAGGAGGGGAUUGCGUCUGAUUAGCUAGUUGGAGGGGUAACGGCCCACCAAGGCGAUGAUCAGUAGCCGGUCUGAGAGGAUGAACGGCCACAUUGGGACUGAGACACGGCCCAGACUCCUACGGGAGGCAGCAGUGGGGAAUCUUCCGCAAUGGACGAAAGUCUGACGGAGCAACGCCGCGUGAGUGAUGACGGCCUUCGGGUUGUAAAGCUCUGUUAAUCGGGUCGAAAGGCCUUCUUGCGAAUAGUGAGAAGGAUUGACGGUACCGGAAUAGAAAGCCACGGCUAACUACGUG
Molecule: ribosomal RNA, 510 nt
Filed under: uncultured bacterium
Lineage: Bacteria
Description: partial 16S ribosomal RNA
Rfam family: Bacterial small subunit ribosomal RNA
Source: RNAcentral